ACGUAAUAGAUACCCUGGUAGUCCACGCCCUAAACGAUGUCUACUAGUUGUUGGUGGAGUAAAAUCCAUGAGUAAACGCAGCUAAACGCGUGAAGUAGACCGCCUGGGGAGUACGGUCGCAAGAUUAAAACUCAAAGGAAUUGACGGGGGCCCGGCACAAGCGGUGGAUUAUGUGGAUUAAAUUCGAUGCAACGCGAAAAACCUUAACCUGGCCUUGACAUGCCACUAACGAAGCAGAGAUGCAUUAGGUGCCCGUAAGGGAAAGUGGACACAGGUGCUGCAUGGCUGUCGUCAGCUCGUGUCGUGAGAUGUUGGGUUAAGUCCCGCAACGAGCGCAACCCUUGCCAUUAAUUGCCAUCAUUUAGUUGGGCACUUUAAU
This 379-nucleotide ribosomal RNA is filed under the name uncultured bacterium. Its description in RNAcentral is "bacterial SSU rRNA". It matches the Rfam family "Bacterial small subunit ribosomal RNA", at positions 774 to 1144 of the family's 1533-position model. The record is from RNAcentral.